Molecule: ribosomal RNA, 486 nt
Filed under: Papuadytes sp. MB163
Lineage: Eukaryota; Metazoa; Arthropoda; Insecta; Coleoptera; Dytiscidae
Description: partial 16S ribosomal RNA
Rfam family: Bacterial large subunit ribosomal RNA (bases 363-486)
Source: RNAcentral
AUCUGCCCACUGAAAUUUUUUUAAUGGCCGCAGUAAUUUGACUGUGCAAAGGUAGCAUAAUCAUUAGUUUUUUAAUUAAAAGCUUGUAUGAAUGAUUGGACGAGGUAAAUUCUGUCUUUAUUUAAAUAAUAUUAGAAUUUAAUUUUUAAGUUAAAAAGCUUAAAUAAUUAUAAAAGACGAGAAGACCCUAUAGAUCUUUAUAUUAUUAUUUUAUAAUUUUAAUUAGGAAUUUUUAAUUUUUUAUAUAAUAUAGUAUUUUAUUGGGGUAAUAAAAAGAUUAAAAAAAUUCUUUUUAAUUUUUUACAUUAAUUUAUGAAUUUAAUGAUCCAAAAUUUUUGAUUAUAAGAUUAAGUUACCUUAGGGAUAACAGCGUAAUUUUUUUAGAGAGUUCAUAUCGAUAAAAAAGUUUGCGACCUCGAUGUUGGAUUAAAAAUUGUUUUAGGCGCAGAAGUUUAAAAAUUUGGUCUGUUCGACCAUUAAAUUUUU